RNAcentral lists this ribosomal RNA (233 nucleotides) under uncultured bacterium. RNAcentral's name for it is "partial 16S ribosomal RNA". It matches the Rfam family "Bacterial small subunit ribosomal RNA", at positions 103 to 334 of the family's 1533-position model. The record is from RNAcentral.
CGGGUGAGUAACGCGUGAGGAACCUGCCUCAAAGAGGGGGACAACAGUUGGAAACGACUGCUAAUACCGCAUAAGCCCACGGCUCGGCAUCGAGCAGAGGGAAAAGGAGCAAUCCGCUUUGAGAUGGCCUCGCGUCCGAUUAGCUAGUUGGUGAGGUAACGGCCCACCAAGGCGACGAUCGGUAGCCGGACUGGGAGGAUGAACGGCCACACUGGAACUGAGACACGGUCCAG